CCUACGGGUGGCAGCAGUGGGGAAUAUUGCACAAUGGGGGAAACCCUGAUGCAGCGACGCCGCGUGAGUGAAGAAGUCUUUCGGUAUGUAAAGCUCUAUCAGCAGGGAAGAAAAUGACGGUACCUGUUUAAGAAGCCCCGGCUAACUACGUGCCAGCAGCCGCAGUAAUACGUAGGGAGCACGCGUUAUCCGGAUUUACUGGGUGUAAAGGGAGCGUAGGCGGUGAUGCAAGUCAGAAGGUAAAGCUCGGGGCUCAACGCCGGGCCUGCUUUUGAAACUGAGGGACUGGAGUGCAGGAGAGGUAAGCGGAAUGCGUGGUGUAGCGGUGAAAUGCGUAGAUAUCAGGAAGAACACCAGUGGCGAAGGCAGCAUACUGGACUGUAACUGACGUUGAGGCUCGAAAGCGUGGGGAGCAAACAGGAUUAGAUACCCUAGUAGUC
RNAcentral lists this ribosomal RNA (440 nucleotides) under uncultured bacterium. Its description in RNAcentral is "partial 16S ribosomal RNA". It matches the Rfam family "Bacterial small subunit ribosomal RNA", at positions 338 to 795 of the family's 1533-position model. The record is from RNAcentral.